RNAcentral lists this long non-coding RNA (1058 nucleotides) under Gossypium barbadense (sea-island cotton). RNAcentral describes it as "long non-coding RNA (GBAR_LNC008730)". Lineage: Eukaryota; Viridiplantae; Streptophyta; Magnoliopsida; Malvales; Malvaceae. The record is from RNAcentral.
GUCAAAAAUGCUUUUUGAUAAAUUAUAAAAGAAGGUAAAACCCUAAGAACAGGACUAAUAUUUGGAAACCGAAAGAGGAGGAAGGUGCAACUGAGGUCGGGUAGGUUCCUAUCAAGGUCCUUGCAAAUAGAUGGUUGGACCUGACAGCUCAUCAAACAUACACAGAAUCUUCAAGGGAUAUACACUUUGGAGGUCCCAAACUUCCUUAACAUCUCAAGUUUUAUAACAUAAAAUUGAUACAAUCAUUACUCUACUAAAGACUUUUCGACUAAUAUUUUAUUUUACUUUUUUGGCAUCGCAUACAGCUACAGUCUUAAUGAAUUUGUCUUCUACGAGUCCUUCAUUCCCCUUUUUCGGCUCUGCUUUUUUACAAAGCUAAUUAAGUUUUAUCUAACUGCCGAUAAACGCAAUCAUUAAGGACCGUCCAUAUCAGAAUACAGAUGGAAUAAGCAAGAUGAAAUUAUCAUCAAAUCAUCAGAAACAGAGCAAAGAAGUCGGCAAAGAAAUAAUAAUAUUGAUAACGCGUUGGCUGAACAUGCAGAAAAAAGGGUCAAAGCAUAUGGGAGGUGGCAGCAGGUGGUGGUGGUGGGGGAGGGGGAUUGAAUUGUAUUGCGGGAAUGCAUGGUCACAAGUAUGAUCCUAAUUGCGUGGCAAAAAUAAACAACUUCAGCUGUUAUUAGGAAGGAGAAGAGGGCAAGGGGAUUGUAUUGAAAACGAAUUUUAGCAAAAGAAAGAUGUCAUAUACCUGUAACCAACAAUUUGAUUGGACAACCUGGCAUCCAUAAAUCAAAACAUACUCCCCCAUUCUACCACGGCUGUCUGGUCCACCGCUGGAUUCUGAAAUGAAAACACCAAUACAAUGGUUUUCACUAUAACCCGUCCUAGCAACAAGGGUUGUCUAUAUAUCAAACAUACCUGCACAUGCUUUGAUGUUGGAACUCUCACAUCCACCAGCUACACCAUUUCACCACCCCAAGCGCCAUUACUGUUGCCAUUGAAACCUCUCUCUGUUUCUCCUUCUCUCUCCCCUUCCUCUUUUUCUCUCCCAUCCCUUUUUU